UUCUCAUAUUCUGAUUCCGUUGUAGGAGAGAUGACUAUGUUAUACUUAUCAGAGCACAAGAGCCUAGAGACAUAAAACAAUUAGUCUAUUUCAGGGUUAGACCUUUGUAGAAUCAAACCACCCAAAUCAAUCCAGAAUAAACUGGUAAUCGAUGUCCAGCCAUUGUUACGUGUUACCAAGCCAAUUCAGGUCUACACACGUUAUGGUCACGGAUCCAAGGCUAAACGGCCCAGUCAACCACGGAUUGAGCUGUUGAAUUAGUCAUAUUUAAUUUAUUAAUUUCUGUUUCAGUUAUUUCCCAUAUUUCCUGCUUUGUAGGAGGUUGAUCCUCCAUUUCCCUUUUCAUGCUUAGUUGGGGAGAGUAUUUCUCCACUUAGAAGUAGUUACCUUUGAUGUAGGAAGUAGCAGUUACACUUCCUGUAUUUAAACGAAUAAUCAUCAAUGAAUGGAUACGUCCAAAAUCAAACAAAGUCUUGAGUACUUUAACUCAGAGGUAAGGCUCCCUCUUUGAACCAAGUCUGUUAAUGACCCGUGGUCAAAAGAAGAAAAAAACCGCAUCUGAUUCCCAAACACCCAGCCUAAACACUCCAAAUCCUAACUUUCCCUCAACCCACAGACCCAUAACACGAUCUUACAAUAGGGACCCUAACAUUACGCGGCUGCAGGGAAUCUUCACCGACAUCCAGCUUCUUCAUUUUCUCUGAAACAAGCCAAUCCAUCAUAUGUAGUCUACUUUUAUUCUGUAGCAAAACUUGCACGAGUUAGCAAAAACUCAAAUGGCACCUAGAUAUCUAGGGUUCAGAAAAAACAAGAAGCACUGGGUCUAGGAGGGUGACGUUGCAGAGCUCACUGGCCUUUCAAGAAAUGGCUGAGGAUACCUUGGAGUUGCUGAUGUUGGACAUGCAUAAAUCCCUUCCUUUGAUCAACGCAGACGCUAAAUUCAUGGAGCCAAUAACACAACAUCAUCUAGAUUAGAGUCCUUCGACAGAUCUCCCAAAAACUCUCUCAUCAUGAAGAGCAGGAUUUGAUAACCAAAACAAUCAUAAAAAGAAACUACAGGCUAGCUAUCUGGUGUGGAGAGUGAAACCUAUAAUUAGACAAAUAGAGAUUGAAACCUCCCCCUGCUUAGACAAUUAGAGAGGAUGAAUUCUGUCUCUCUUGAAUUCAUAUAAUAUUCUUGUUUUUCGAAAUAAAAAUUAUUGAAGAAUAAGAGAAAACAUAGUCAAAUCUAUCUUGAUGACUUUAGGUGUGCAAAUUAUUGAAUAAACUCGGAAAACCAACUCAAUCUUGUCCCCUAGUAUUUCGAAAGCAACAUAUAAU
This 1320-nucleotide long non-coding RNA is filed under the name Manihot esculenta (cassava). RNAcentral's name for it is "long non-coding RNA (MESC_LNC008968)". Lineage: Eukaryota; Viridiplantae; Streptophyta; Magnoliopsida; Malpighiales; Euphorbiaceae. The record is from RNAcentral.